GUAUUGGAGAGUUUGAUCCUGGCUCAGGACGAACGCUGGCGGCGUGCCUAAUACAUGCAAGUCGAGCGGACCUGUUUGAAGCUUGCUUCAGACAGGUUAGCGGCGGACGGGUGAGUAACACGUAGGCAACCUGCCCGCAAGACCGGGACAAUACGAACGUAUGAUCUGUUCUGUGGCGUAAUUUUCUCGGUUUUAUGUGUCCGAUCUAUUGACAGAGGUCCAGUUGGGGGCGGAACCCUACGAACGGACAGAUGAGCGUCAAGCAUAUCGAAAUGGUACAUACCCACACCAAUUGAC
Molecule: ribosomal RNA, 297 nt
Filed under: Brevibacillus thermoruber
Lineage: Bacteria; Bacillati; Bacillota; Bacilli; Caryophanales; Paenibacillaceae
Description: partial 16S ribosomal RNA
Rfam family: Bacterial small subunit ribosomal RNA
Source: RNAcentral